UACACGAGUGGCGCACGGGUGAGUAACGCGUAUGCAACCUACCUCUAACUGGGGAAUAGCCCUUCGAAAGGAGGAAUAAUACCCCAUAAUAUUUCGAUGAGACAUCUCAUCGUUCUUAAAACUCCGGUGGUUAGAGAUGGGCAUGCGUGACAUUAGUUUGUUGGUGAGGUAAAAGCUCACCAAGACUGCGAUGUCUAGGGGGUCUGAGAGGAUGAUCCCCCACACUGGUACUGAGACACGGACCAGACUCCUACGGGAGGCAGCAGUAAGGAAUAUUGGGCAAUGGGCGAAAGCCUGACCCAGCCAUGCCGCGUGCAGGAUGACAGCCCUAGUGGUUGUAAACUGCUUUUAUACGAGAAGAAAUGCUCCGACGUGUCGGAGUUUGACGGUAUCGUAAGAAUAAGCACCGGCUAACUCCGUGCCAGCAGCCGCGGUAAUACGGAGGGUGCAAGCGUUAUCCGGAUUCAUUGGGUUUAAAGGGUGCGUAGGCGGAAUAGUAAGUCAGUGGUGAAAUCCUACAGCUCAACUGUAGAACUGCCAUUGAAACUGCUGUUCUUGAGUAUAGUUGAAGUGGGCGGAAUGUGUCAUGUAGCGGUGAAAUGCAUAGAUAUGACACAGAACACCAAUUGCGUAGGCAGCUCACUAAGCUAUUACUGACGCUCAGGCACGAAAGCGUGGGUAGCGAACAGGAUUAGAUACCCUGGUAGUUCACGCCGUAAACGAUGAUUACUCGAUGCUGGCGAUAUACUGUCAGUGUCCAAGCGAAAGUGUUAAGUAAUCCACCUGGGGAGUACGAUCGCAAGAUUGAAACUCAAAGGAAUUGACGGGGGCCCGCACAAGCGGAGGAACAUGUGGUUUAAUUCGAUGAUACGCGAGGAACCUUACCUGGGCUUAAAUGCAAGAUGACAGACUGGGAAACCAGUCCUUCUUCGGACAACUUGCAAGGUGCUGCAUGGCUGUCGUCAGCUCGUGCCGUGAGGUGUCGGGUUAAGUCCCAUAACGAGCGCAACCCCUAUUCUUAGUUGCCAGCGGAUAAUGCCGGGGACUCUAAGAAAACUGCCCGCGCAAGCGGAGAGGAAGGUGGGGAUGACGUCAAGUCAGCACGGCCCUUACGUCCAGGGCAACACACGUGUUGCAAUGGCUGGUACAGAGGGCAGCUACCUGGUGACAGGAUGCUAAUCUCUAAAACCAGUCUCAGUUCGGAUCGAAGUCUGCAACUCGACUUCGUGAAGUCGGAUUCGCUAGUAAUCGCGCAUCAGCUAUGGCGCGGUGAAUACGUUCCCGGGCCUUGUACACACCGCCCGUCAAGCCAUGGAAGCUGGGGGUACCUGAAGUCGGUAACCGUAAGGAACCGCCUAGGGUAAAACUGGUAACUGGGGCUAAGUCGUAACA
This 1392-nucleotide ribosomal RNA is filed under the name uncultured Bacteroidota bacterium. RNAcentral's name for it is "SSU rRNA". It matches the Rfam family "Bacterial small subunit ribosomal RNA". The record is from RNAcentral. Lineage: Bacteria; Pseudomonadati; Bacteroidota.